RNAcentral lists this ribosomal RNA (773 nucleotides) under uncultured Neocallimastigales. Its description in RNAcentral is "partial large subunit ribosomal RNA". It matches the Rfam family "Eukaryotic large subunit ribosomal RNA", at positions 24 to 643 of the family's 3401-position model. Lineage: Eukaryota; Fungi; Neocallimastigomycota; Neocallimastigomycetes; Neocallimastigales. The record is from RNAcentral.
UAUCUCUGUAGAGUCUGCAUAUCAAUAAGCGGAGGAAAAGAAACUAACAAGGAUUCCCUUAGUAACGGCGAGUGAAGCGGGAAGAGCUCAAAUUUGAAAUCUUCAAGGUUCUACCUUGACGAAUUGUAGUUUAAAGAAGUGUUUUCUGUUAGAUGAGUAGCAAAAGUUCCUUGGAAUGGGACAUCAUAGAGGGCGAGAAUCCCGUAUUUGGUUAUUCAUUCUAGCUUUGUGAUACACUUUCAAAGAGUCGGAUUGUUUGGGAAUGCAGUCCAAAAUGGGUGGUAAAUUUCAUCUAAAGCUAAAUAUUGGCGAGAGACCGAUAGCGAACAAGUACCGUGAGGGAAAGAUGAAAAGAACUUUGAAAAGAGAGUUAAACAGUACGUGAAAUUGUCAAAAGGGAAGCGUUUGACACCAGUGUUGUUUUUCCGAAAAUCAAUUACGAAUGGCUUGAUUUUGUGUUGUAUUGACCUUAUCAGCUUUCUUCACUUUUUUCGAAUCUUUCUUAAUGCACUUUUCGGUUAACAAGUCAACAUCAAUUUCUUUUGUUGUAAAAGAGUAUUCGGAAGGUGGCUUUCUUUUCGGAGAAAGUGUUUAUAGCCCUAUACUUCUACAAUCGGAGAGAUUGAGGUCUGCAGCGUAGAUCCUUCGGGGUUAGAUACACUUGUGCUAAGUUGUAGCUUUUCAUAGACAACUUGUUGACUAUGUUUAGUCAUGCGGCUUACUCGCUUGUGCUAUUUUACCUACGCUUAGGAUGUUGACUGAUAUGUAGUCGU